AGUAGUUUUUUUUUUUUUCUAAUUCUGUGAAGAAAGUCAAUGGUAGCUUGAUGAGGAUAACAUUGAAUCUAUUGAUUACUUUGGGCAUAUGGCCAUUUUCAUGAUAUUGAUUCUUCCUAUCCAUGAGCAUGGAGUGUUUUUCCAUUUGUUUGUGUCCUCUCUUAUUUCCUUGAGCAGUGGUUUAUAGGACUUCUUCCUUGAAGAGGUCCUUCAUACUCCUUGUAAGUUGUGUUCCUAGGCAUUUUAUUCUCUUUGUAGCAAUUGUGAAUGAGAGUUCACUCAUGAUUUGGCUCUCUGUGUGUCUAUUAUUGGUGUAUAGGAAUGCUUGUGAUUUUUGCACAUUGAUUUUGUAUCCUGAGACUUUCCUGAAGUUGUUUAUCAGCUUAAGGAGCUGCAAACAGAGACAAUUUGACUUCCUCUAUUUUUAACUGAAUACCUUUUAUUUCUUUCUCUUGCCUGAUUGCCCUGGCCCGAACUUCCAAUACUAUGUUGAAUGGGAAAGGUGAGAGAGGGCAUCCUUUAUUUUAUGCCAGUUUUCAAAGGGAAUGCUUCCAGUUUUUGCUCAUUCAGUAUGAUAUUGGCUGUGGGUUUGUCAUAAAUAGCUCUUAUUAUUUUGAGAUAUGUUCCAUCAAUACCUAGUUUAUUGAGAGAUUUUAGCAUGCAGGGCUGUUAAAUUUUGUCGAAGGCCUUUUCUGCAUCUAUUGAAAUAAUCAUGUGGUUUUUAUCAUUGGUUCUGUUUAUAUGAUGGAUCACGUUUAUUGACUUGCAUAUGUUGUACCAGCCUUGCAUCCCAGGGAUGAAGCCGACUUGAUUGUGACAGAUAAGCUUUUUGAUGUGCUGCUGGAUUUGGUUUGUCAGUAUCUUAUUGAGAAUUUUCACAUCAAUGUUCAUCAGGGAUACUGGCCUGAAAUUUCUUAUGCUGGUUUCUCCCCAACUUUGUGAUUUAUCUACCUUUGGUCUUUGAUGUUGGUGACCUUUGGAUGGGGUAUCUGAGUGGACGUCCUUUUUGUUGAUGUUGAUACUAUUCCUUUCUGUUUGUUAGUUUUCCUUACAGUCAGGCCCCUCUGCUGCGGGUCUGCUGGAGUUUGCUGGAGGUCUACUCCAGACCCUGUUUGCCUGGGUAUCAUCAGUGGAGGCUGCAGAUCAGCAAAGAUUGAUGCCUGUUCUUUCCUCUGGAAGCUUUGUCCUAAAGGGGCACCCACCAGAUGCCAGUCAGAGCUCUCCUGUAUAAUGUGUCUGUCAGCCUCUACUGGGAGGUGCCUCCCAGUCAGGAGACACAGCGGUCAGGGACCUCCUUGAGGAGUUAAUCUGUCCCUUAGUAGAGCUUGAGGACUGUGCCGGGAGAUCUACCACUCUCUUUAGAGCUGUUAGGCAGGGAUGUUUAAGUCUGCUUGAAGCUGUGCCCAUAGGUACCCCUUCCCCUAGGUGCUCUUUCCUAGGGAAAUAGAGGUUUUAUCUAUCAAUCCCUGACUGCAACUGCUGCCGUUUUUUUUUUCCCAGAGAUGCCCUGCCAAGAGAGGAGGAAUCUAGAGAGGCAGUCUGGCUGCAGUGGCCUUGUUGAGCUUCGGUGGGCUCCGCCCAGUUCGAGCUUCCUGAUGGCUUUGUUUACGGUCUCUGUCAUCCAGGCUGGAGUGCAGAGGCAUGCUCAUGGCUCGCUGAAACCUCUACCUCCUGGGCUCAAGGGAUCCUCCCACCUCAGCCUCCCAAGAUAAACACCCAAGACGGGGACUGCUGGAUCAUAUGGUAAGUGUCUGUUUAACUUUAUAAGAAGCUGCCAAACUGUUUCCCAGGGUGGAUGAUAUGGUUUGGUUCUGUGUCCUCAAUCAAAUCUCAUCUUGUAGCUCCCAUAACUUCCAUGUGUUGUGGGAGGGACCUGGUGGGAGGGAAUUGAAUCACAGGGACAGGUCUUUCCCAUGCUGUUCUGAUGAUAGUGAAUAUGCCUCACAAAUUCUGAUAGUUUUAAAAAUGGAGAUCCCCCGCAAAAGCUCUCUCUUUGCCUGCUGCCAUCCAUGUAUGAUGUGACUUGCUUCUCCUUGCCUUCCACCAUGAUUGUGAGGCCUCCUCAGCCAUGUGGAACUGUGAGUCCAAUUAAAUCUCUUUCUUCUAUAAAUUGCCCCGUCUCAGGUGUGUCUUUAUCAGCAGCGUGAAAACGGACUAAUACAGUGGAUAAACCAUUUUGCAUCCCUGGCAGCUGUGUAUGAGAGUUCUGAUUGCUCCUCAUCCUCCCUAGUUCUUGGUAUUGUCACUAUUUUUAAUUUUAACCAUUUUAACAGGUAUAUGAUAUCUCAUUAUGAGUUUGCAUUUGCACACCCCUAAUGACUAGUGAUUGAAGUAUCUUUUCAUAUAUUUAUUUCUCAUUUAUAUAUCCUCAUUGGUGAGGUGUUCCAGUCUUUUAACUAUUUUUUAACUAAAUUGUUUUCUUACCCCUGAAUUGUAAGAGUCCUUUCUUGACACCAUCUGGGUAAAAUCGUUUGCCAUGUAUAUAAUUUCUGAGUUUUUUUUCUCCCAGUUUGUGGCUUGUCUUUUCCUUCUGUUAACAAUGUCAUUCACAGAACAAAAGUUUUAUAUUUUGACGAAGUCUAUUUUUCAAUUUUUAAAUAGAUUAUGUUUUUGGUGUUCCGUGUAAAAACCAUUUUUUUUUUUUUGAGACAAGCUCUCAUUCUGUUUCUCAGGCUGGAGUAUAGUGGUGCGAUCAUGACUCACUGCAGCCUUAACCUCUCAGGUUCUGGCAAUUCCCCCACCUCACCCCUGCAAGUAGCUGGGAUUACAGGUGCUCACCACCAUGCCCAGAUAAUUUUUGUAGUUUUUGUAGAGACAGAGUUUUGCCAUACUGACAAGGCUGGUCUCAAACUCCUGGACUCAAGUGAUCCUCCUGCCUCAGACUUCCAAAAUGUUGAGAUUAUAGGUGUGAGCCACUGCACCUGGCUCCUAAAAACUCUGCCUAACUCCACUUUACGAAGAUUUUCUCCUAUGUUUUUUCCCCUAACAGUUUUCUAGUUUUACUAAAAUGAAUUAUCUCUUAAUAGCUUAGAGAAAACUGAGACAGUAAAUGAGAGUCUAAAUAUUUUGAAAUGACAUUUUUAAUGUUUAAAAACAUUCAUAAGUAUCUAGAAUAUUGCAUAAGAUAUAUCUGUGAAAUAUAAAACAAAUUCCAAAAGUAAAGGUCUCCAUAACUUCAGAAGAAAACAUUCCAAGGAUAUGCUUUCUUCAUUGUGCAAUUCUCAAUUUCCACCCCCACAACAAGGGCAUGAAAUGGGUUUGUUGAAUAUAACAGUACUGUUCUGUGGUGAGUGAAAUUGGAUAGAAAAAGUCUUAUAUUUCUUAACAUUAGUCUUAGUAAAAGAAACAAGAGAAAUUUUUUUCAAAGGUCAGACUCCCCAUGAAAUUUAUUGUUUAAUGAAAAUGCACUGACAAUCCUAGGACAACACUUGUAAUGUCUGAAAUAUCUAGCAACUGUUUUCAAAAUUAAACAUCUUUGAAAAAUUCUUUGAAAGACUUUAUAAAUGAAGCAAUCCCCCCAUUAACUCCUUCCAAACAAUAACUGAUUUCAAGGUAUUAGCAAAGAAGAGUGCUUUUAUGGAUCUCUGACCGCAUACAUUUUUUCAAGGCAUAUUAUAAAUAUUGCUUUCAUAAAUAUAUAUGAGAUCGCUGAAUUAAUUUUUUGGUAAUAAAUUAAAUCUGUAAUGAUAUUAAUAGUUUACUUUCCCAAAAGUAUUACUACCAUUUUGAAGUAUAGUAAGAAAUUAUUUCUUUAAGUAAAAACUGAAAGAAUUUCCAAAUCAGCUUUCUGUUAUAGCUGUUAGACACUUUGCUCCUACCUAAGCUGUUCUGCCCUGAAAUAAUCUCAAGAUCCUGAGAUUUCCUACUAGAAAAAUUAAACACUUGUCAAAUGAAGAAAUAGUAAAUCCAUUUAGAAGCAGAAUUUUAAGAUAAUUAUUAUUAGAUUUAUCACUGAUACAAGUCAACUAUGUAUACUUCCCAUUAUGUAAAUGAACCAGUAAUUUGAUAUUACAAUGAAAUAUAAAGAUUACCCAAAGAAAAGUUACCACUAGAGACUACUGGAUAUAUCUAAAGUUAAACAAAAAAGGGCUGGGUACAGUGGUGAGCACCUGUAACCCCAACUACUUGGGAGGCUAAGGUGGAAGAAUUACUUGAACUCAGGAGUUUGAGACCAGACUGGGCAACACAGGGAGUCCAUGUCUCAUCAAUAAGUAAAAUAUGAUAAACAAAAAGGGCCUAAGUAUUUUUAGGGAAUUAAAAACCUGAUAUCUAAUAUUAAGUAAAAGAGACUCUGAAGUAGCUGGAUUUUGAUCUUAUAUUUUCACAAACACAACUUCAUGGCCCUCACUAAAUUAAAACUGUGAAUUCUGAUGAUUUUUCCUAGAAAUAAUGGUCAUUUGUAGAAUUUAAAAAAAAAAAAAAGAAAAAAAUAAAGAGGUUGGGACAUGAUGAGAAGUUUGCUUUGGGGGAAAAAGAAAGGACAACUUUUUCUUGCCAUGCUCUACAUAUACCCACCUUUGCUUCUUUUAGGCAGAAUAUUUCUUUUAUUUAUUUAAUUUUUUUCAAGACAGGGUCUCACUCUCACCCAGGCUGGAAUGCAGUGGCACUAUCACAGCUCACUGCAGUGCUGAAUCCUGGGCUCAAGUGAUCUUUUCACUUCUAUAUCCCAAGUAGCUGGGACUACAGGCAUGUGCCACCAUGCUUGGCUAAUUUAUUUUUUAUUUUUUUAUAGAUACAGGGUCUGCCAAUGUUUCCCAGGCUGGUCUCAAACUCUUGGGUUCAAGUAAUUCUGCCACCUCAGCCUCUCAAAGUGUUGGGAUUACAGGUGUGAGCCCUUGUGCAUGGCCUAGACGAAUAUUUUUCUUUUCUUUCUUUUUUUUUUUCUCGUUGCCCAGGCUGGAGUGUAAUGGCGCAAUCUCGGCUCACUGCAACCUCCCACUCCAGGGUUCAAGCAGUUCUCCUGCCUCAGCCUCCCAAGCAGCUGGGAUUAUAAGCACCCACCACGCUGCCCAGUUGGGUGUAUUUUUUGUAUUUUUAGCAGAGAUGCAGUUUCACUGUGUAGGCCAGGCUGGUCUCAAGCUCCUGACCUCAGGCAAUUCACUCACCUUGGCCUCCCAAAGUGCUUGGAUUAUAGGUGUGAACCACUGCGUCUGGCCCAGAAUAUUUCUUAAUAAACACAUGAACUUGAGUCAAUCUCAUUGUUGUGGAGGGGUUGCAGUGCUCACCUGUGGGCUUUAAUGUGAUCUUUCUAAUAUCUGUGUACUUGGUCAUUCCAUUCUCCUGCCUCUCCAUCUUCCCAUCCACCUCUCUACCUCUCUAUUUACCUAUUGAGCCAGCGAGCCUCUUUCCAAAAUUAACGUGAGACAAUUUAACAUGGCUGUAUUAUACACAAAGUCAGUCUAGCUCUUUGAUAGUUUAGAUAACUUUAAAAUUUACUAAAUAAUGUUUUCUUUUUUCAAAUAUCUGCAGCUUUGCCCCAAAACAUAAAACAAUGUUUUCUCGAUUUAGAUACAAAAAAAGAAUCACUUUAAAUAGUUUUCUGGUCCAUUUGCAAAUUUCUUGUUUUGCAAGUUAUGCUUUAUUAAUACCCAGAUGGCCUCAUUCAAUCAUUGUAUUCUAGCUGUGCAUCCAGUAAGAACAAGGUCACUUGAGGCUCAGAAUAACCCUUCAGCAAAGUGCUGAAAAAAUAUGGACUUGAGAAGAUAAUAUAAAAGAAAAGUGUUGCCAAAGGUCAAGAUAGCCAAGGUUGCAUGGAUGUGUUGCAAGAUCAGGCACAUUCAUUCACAAGAUUUAGAACUGUAGGGGCAGAAAAAAAACUGUUCCUUUAUCCUCUUAGGUUCAGUAGCUGAGAACUACAAAUUAAACUGACAAAAGACAUAUCAAUAGGAGAAAAGGUUUAUUUUCAAUGCACACAGUCUCUUCACAGAAAAGUAGCAAAACCUCAGUGAGGCAGUUUGGUGUAGAAGAGCCGGGAGUUUAUAUACCAUUUUAACAAAAGGUGAUAAGUUGUGGACAGGUGACUAGACAAAGGAAAAGGAAUUUGGGCUUCUGGGGAAGUACAUUGUGAGAAGGCAAAUACAUGGGGUAAAUUAAUGGAAGAUCAAGCUUAUUUUAGUAAGGUUUGUUUUUGCAGACUCAUCAGUAGGAAUUGUCUCUGGUGAUUAGACACCUUUACAAAUGAAAAUUUAUGUCACCUUUAUGAAGUGAAAUGUAUGCCCUGUUUUUCAGCAGAAAGAUAGAGGACAGAGAGUUCCUCCUGUGUCUGCUGUUUCUUAAUUGCCAUCAGCUCAAAUUAAUCCUCAUGCCAAAAUGGCAUAUUUUGAGAUGGCAUAUUAGAAUCCCCUUUGGUGCUAUUUCAUGUUGCCUGAUUGCUAGCACAUUUCCCUUAUAGGUUGGUUCAGAGGACUGUUUCCAUAUCAUGUCCAUGCUUCCUCAUUUGGAAUUACAAUGAGAGUUUAAGGAUUAAACGCUUCAAUAUAACAUUCAGUUAAUAAAACAUCAAUUUUACUCACAUCUGGUGUUUGAACAGCUGAAUUCCACAUAACUGGCCUCUGAAGGAAUACGAUCUGCUUUGUAGCCAAAUUCCCUUCACUGCAAAUUAAAACAAUAGUAUUAGUAUUUGUGAAUUAGUAAUUCUCUAUAUUUCAUAAUUGGCUAGAAUGUUCCAUAUGUAGUUUCAUAAAAUAAUCUUCUGACCGAAAAUAAUUAUAAAACAUAAUUCUUUUUUUUCUUCCGGUGAUGGAAAAACUGUAAAACAUAAUUCUAUAAAAACCGCAUCUGAAAAAACAAGAACAACCCCUAAAAAACUGAAUAUGGUCACUAGAAAAUAAAACUAUUUUAAUGUUUAAAGACUCUUGUAAUCUCACCAAGCUAACAUCAAUAUUUUCGUUUCUUUGUUUCCCCUCUUAGUCUUUAUCAGCUCGUGUAUUUGCAUGUCUGUAAUCACUGCAUAUUUAUAUUUUGUUUCUAUGCCCUUCACUGAGCACUCUUUUUCAGUUUGUACACUGUAAUCGUAUUUUUAAUGGUUGCAUAAUAACUCAAAGAAUUAAAAUAUCAAAAUGUACUCAACCUUUCUUUUAUUAUUGGAAAAUAAGGUUGCUUCCAGUUUCUUGCCAGUUAUAAAUAAAUGAUGCUGUUAUAAAAAAUAUGUAUCAUAUUGAUCUUAUGAAUUAUUUUCUUGAAAUGAAUACUUAGGAGUGGGAUUAUUAGGUCAAAACUUAUGAUUUAAACUUCUUGUUAUGCAUUGUCAAAUUUGCAUUAUAAAUAGAAGAGACCAAUUUAGGCUGCCACAUGUGAGAAAAAUUUACAUUCAUUUUCAAUUGAGGGACUUCAACUAUAGCUAGUUUUACUUUCAGAUGCUUCUUUGUAGUCAGCUACUCAGUAUUCUCCUUAUCUAACUAUCAUCAUGGCAAAUUACCCCUUGCCAACGACUAUUUGUGGUUUGUAUUCCUCUGAAAUGCUUUUCACAGAGUCUCCAUGGAUUUAUGGGGAGGAGUGUCUGUAGCUAAUGUUGCUCAGUUACGACUUUUAUUAUGCAAAAAACCCCAACAAAACCUUACUAUUAGCUGCAUUUUAUGCUGAGCUCUUUUUCUGGAAAAUGAAUGCAACACUGAAACUCUGGCUUUAGAGUUAUGUGUCAGCUGCACAGCAUUUGAAAAUCCCAACCUUACUGAUACUGCUGAAUUUUGAGAAAUAUCAAAUAUUUCUCAAAGUGAUAACAGGAGACUACUUUUUUAUUUUCAUUUUUGAAAGACUGUUUCUAGUCUCAUUAGAGCAAAAAACUUACAUAAAACAUAUAGUAACUUUGGGAACAAAUCAUCAUGAGGCUUUGGCACAUGGAUAGGAUUAGCAUGUGUACAGAAAAGGUUGGUCAUAUGUUUUGGAAGCAUGAAGUAUACCGGAAAAAGCCAUGGCUUUGGAACCAGACAGUUCCUGUGUUCAAAUCCAAAUUCUGCCGUAGUAUUUAAUAGUUGACACCUUUAAUCAAUUAAACCUUAAAUUCUCUGACUGUUUUCUAUCAGGGACCUCGAUAAGUGAUAAGUGAGGAAAAAGCAUGUGUGAAAAGCCCCCCCAUUGUGCCUGCGACUAGAAGAAGUACAACAAAUGUAAUUUCUUUCCACUUUUCCAUUUAUUUAGUGAAAUAUAGGGUGCAGUUAAGGGAAUGGAGGAAAAGUUUUAGAAUCAAGAAUAUCUUCCAGAGGGCAAAUUCAAGGGACAGCCAAAUAUGGUGUUCAUGCCUGUAAUCCCAGCACUUUGUGAAGCUGAGUGGGGAGGAUCCCUUGAGUCCAGGAGUUUGAGACUAGUCUGGGAAACAUACUGAGACUCCUGUCUCUAUAAAAACAUUAAAAAAAAAAUCUAUCCAAGUGUGGUGUCACGUGCCUGUGGUCCCAGCUACUUGGGAGGUUGAGGUAAGAGGAUCACUUGAGUCCAGAGGUUGAGGCUGCAGUGAGCCAUGAUCAUACCACUGAACCCUAGAAUGGUGACAGAGAGAGAAAACUUCUUUUUCUUUCAAGAUGGAGUUUUGCUCUCAUUGCCCGGGCUGGAGUGCAAUCUUGGCUCACUGCAACCUCCACCUCCCGUGUUCAAGUGAUUCUCCUGCCUCAGCCUCCUGAGUAGCUGGGAUUACAGGCAUGAGCCACCAUGCCCGGCUAAUUUUGUAGUUUUAGUAAAGUUGGUGUUUCUCCAUGUUGGUCAGGCUGAUCUUGAACUCCUGACCUCAGGUGAUCCACCUGCCUUGGCCUCCCAAAGGUGUGAGUCACUGCGCCAUGCUGAGAGAACCUAUCUUAAAAGAAAGAAGGAAGGAAAAGUAAAGAAAAAAGAAAAACAAAUUCAAGGGACAGGGUACACGGGAAUGGAGAAGAGACCUUCUGGUUCAUGUUCUUGGUGUGUGAUCCAGGUGGAGAAUCAUAAAGGACUAGGCCUGGAAUGAUCCAAAGAUGGGAAGGAGAGAUCAGGGUAGAAUUAUUCUCCUUGAAGAGAAAGCAGGAGCACGUUGGGGUAGGGAUUGCUGGAGACCAUACAGGGUUGCUUACAGAUCAACUGCGGAUGGGGCAAUUCUGAAUGCACUAAGAUGUAAUGUUUGGCCUACGGCAGGCUUUACACACCUUACUGUGUAUUCCAAACACUGAGGUGCCUGUUGAUUCCAGGGUUCACUCCACGUCUAUGGAAUCUUCAUUUCACCAGGCUCCCCAGGUGGCCCUGACACACAGUACACUUGGGAACCAUCACAAGAAGACACAGACUUGGAAGUGUGGACUUCACAGGCCCUGGGGAUUACUUGGUGAUACUUCCUUCUAUCAAAGGCAUUCACUGUUGGUUUUCCUUGAAUAAUAAUAAAACUCACCAAGAAUUCCUCUUGGUAUGGAGUGUGGAACCAAAAAGGGCUUAUUUUCUGGAAGCAUCCUCAAUGUCUAUUUUACCAUAUUCUCCUAAUGUGACAUGUGUCCUUAAAUUUUUUGGACAAUUUUAGCCAGAUAGGCUGCCUAGAGCCAUACUGAAGACACAUGUUUAAUCGUCUGCAGUUUCUCAAUGUAUUCCUGACCUGACUUGUCUAAAAUAUUUAUAUAUAUAUAUAUAUGUCCAAAAUGUUAUAUUUUGGAAUGUGGGUGAGGAGUUACUCCCUCUGCAGUCUGACACAAUUCCUGGCAGCAACUCCAAAUUAUGAGAGUAUCUCUAUCAGUGGAUCCUGAGGCAGUGGGGGAAGGAGAAAGAGGAAGGAGAUAGCUUAUCGAAGGCUCUGUGGGUUGGAGGUAGAGGUAGGUACGUUAGGGGUGUAUGUCAAGGAAAAAAGUCCUCAGAUGGUGUGACGUACAGUGCUCAAUCCUGGGUUGAGAAUCAUCGCCUGUAUGUUGAAAGAGGAUUCUCUCCACCAGCGUUCUGCUUGAUAUUUAACACAGGAUGCAGAGAGGUGAGACAUGUGGCAUAGGGGAGGUGAACCCCCUGUUGCUACUUCAGUGAAGCAAGAGCACUGUCAAACCUAUUCCUCCUGUGGUGUGAAGGGGAUUGCCUCUGAAAGGGCAGAAGCUUUUUAAGCAUGAGCUUUAUUUAAUUUAAUUUUUUUUUUGAGGCACAUUCUCACUCUGUCACCCAGGUGCAGUGCAGUGGUAUGAUUGUGGCUCACUGCAACCUCCGCCUUUUGGGUUCAAGCAAUUCUUCUGCCUUAGCCUCCCGAGUAGCUGGGAUUACAGGCAUGUGCCACCACACCGGCUAAUUUUUUUGUAUUUUUAGUAGAUACAGGGUUUCACCUUGUUGGCCAGGCUGGUCUUGAACUCCUGACCUCAAGUGAUUCACCUGCCUUGUCCUCCCAAAGGGCCAGGAUCACAGGCCUGAGCCACCGCAUCUGACCUAAGCAUGAGCUUUAAAACUGAUGAGUAAUGCCUUCCAGUGGCUCUAUGAGGAGUGGUUUGGGGAGUCUAAUGAGAUAAAAAGCAAACAUGGAGAUGGUUUGUCAAAGGCUGACAACUUUAGACAGCAUUCAGAUGCCUGAAUAAGAGUUUGGAAGGUCAGCAUCUGCCUACCUCUUGGGGAGGUCCUCAAGCGACUCUUGUAUCUCAGCCUCCUGAAUAGCUGUGACCACAGGUAUGUGACACUAUGCCUGGCUAAGUUUUGUAUUUUUAGUAGAGACAGGAUUUUGCCAUGUUGGUUAGACUGGUCUUGAAUUCCUGACCUCAGGGGAUUUGCCUGCCUCGACCUCCCAAAAUGCUGGGAUUAUAGAUGUGAGCCACCACACCUGGCUUGCAUUUUAUGCACUUUCUAUUUGAGUGUUUUAUGCCACAGAAAUAUUGUAAUUACUUAAGACUCUAUUGUUCUAUGUAAGACAAACACAUAUAAGGAAGAAGGUUUUCACUGGCAGUAGUUUUAAGUUAUGUUUUUGACAUGUGAGCCACAAAAGAAAGAUGAUGAUAGACAUUCAUUUUUCUGGGUAUGAGAAUAUGUGAAAGCAGAUAUUUUAAUAAUGUCAUUCUGUAUUUCUGUUGCUUUUAUUGUCUUGUCAUCUUCAGUGAUGAUUUCUUAUAUUGUGAACUACAGUAUUUACAUUUUCUGAAACAUCCUGAUUUAGGAUAGGCCAAACUAUCAUGCCUGAACAUUGGUUUCAACUUACCAGAAAUUUUGGUUCUGCUAAAGAUUAGGUCCCAAAACAUUAGCCUAAUAUGCUCAGGCCCUGUACAGGUAGUUUGCAUGUAUUAUCUUAGCUACUGUGAUAAUACACUAAAGUUGAUAUUAUUGUACCAUUUUUCAGAUAAGGAAAUUUACCUUUUCUUUUUCUUUGAGACAGAGUUGUGCUCUGUCAUCUGUCACCCAGGCUGGAGUACAGUGGUGCAAUCUCGGCUCAUGGCAACCUCCACCUCACGGGUUCAAACGAUUUUCCUGCCUCAGCCUCCGGAGUAGCUGGGACUACGGGUGCAUCCCACCAUACCCAACUAAUUUUUUUUGUAGUUUUAGUAGAGACAGGGUUUCAGUGUGUUGGCCAGGAUGGUCUCAAUCUCCUGACCCCCUGACCUGCCUGCCUUGGCUUCCCAAAGUGCUGGGAUUACAAGUUUGAGCCAUUGUGCCUGGCCAGGAAAUUUAUCUUAAAAACGUUAGAUGACUUGCCCCAAUCAUACAGCUAGACAAUGAGGAAGGUAUAAUUAAAACAAGAUCUGCUUAGCUCCAAAGCCUGGGCUCCUAACCACUCCUCUAGUUUCAGAGACUUAAAACUUCAGGCUCUAUCUUCUACCUUGACCAAGGUCAACUGUAUAUAAUGUUUUUCUUUAUUUUUAAAGACUAAAUAAUUGACAAUAAUUCCCAUCAUUGUGUGUACUAAAGCAGCCAAGAACAGCAUGCGGCUGUCAUAGGGACAAUAUAUUUGUACAAGAAUAAAAAGGCAGAGGAUAAACAAGCUUUACCAACAAUGCUUUUUACCAAAUGACCAUGAACUUUUACCUUCAUCCUAUAUUUCCUGUGUUGCAGGCACUUGGCAGGACCCAAAUUACAAAAUGCAGAGGAACCAAAUCAGCACCAAUAUUACACAAUGUUCCUUGGCAUACAGAAGAAGAGUAGACAUUGUGUGUUGCAGUGUGCCUUGUUACAUAAGGGCAAUUACUGUUAAAAUUACAUUUUUCUACUAUGAUCUAUACAGAAUUAUGGGCAUAUUCCUAGAUAGAAAUCUGCUAAAUAGUGAUGCUGCUGCCCUUUAAUCUCUUUAGUAUUUGAAGAUCUAACUUUGACAGUUUAAAAUGUCUCUUCUUUUUAGUAUUCCUGUAGAACUUAUAGACUAAGGCACCUCAUCUAGCCCUUGAUGAGUUACUGUAUAUAUAUAUAUUUUUUUGAGAUAGAGUUUCACUCUUGUUGCCCAGGCUGGAGUGCAAUGGCAUGAUCUUGGCCCACUGCUCCCUCCACCUCCUGGGUUCAAGCAAUUCUCUUGCCUCCGCCUCAAGAGUAGUAGGGAUUACAGGCAUGCACCACCAAGCUCAGCUAAAUUUUUAUUUUUAGUAGAGACCAGGUUUCUCCAUGUUGGUCAAGUUGGUCUUGAACUCCCAACCUCAGGUGAUCCACUGCCUCAGCCUCCAAAAAUCCCAGCCUCAGCUGGGAUUACAGGCGUGAGCUACCACACCCAGCCUGAUGAGUUACUGUAUUAUAUUGACCAAUACAUAAGCUUGAUCUGUCCUGACCAGAAUGGAAGCCCCUCAUUUACUAUGCAUGAAAUGUAAGCUUAACCAGCUCACAACCUCCAUCAGGCCAGAAACUAUGCACAGCUUCCACAUGUUUUUAUUUAUUGAUUGACUUUUUGCCUUUUAGAUUUAAUUUCUAAAGUUUAAAAUUCAGAAUGGCAUGGCAGAGAGAAGAGAAGGAGCAUCUGAAUGUUGAGAGGAGUUUGGCUGAAGAUGGUUGGAGAAGAGAUUGGCUGCUGGAUGGUCAAACUCCAGAUGAUCAUCUUCCCACUCAAUCCUACUUCCACCCUCAGUAAAACCUACACAAUCACCAUCCUCAAUUCUUUGUGCAACUUGACUCUUCCUGGACCCUGGACAAGGACCUAGGUACCGAAAGGACACUAAGCUGGUUAACAUUUCAGCCGUCUGCAGAUGGCAAAGCUAAAAGAACACUGUUACACAUGCCUCCUUGGGCUUUGGGAGUUGCAGGCACCCACCCCUAGAUGCUACCAUGAGGCCGGAGCCCCAGAGCACUUGCGCCAGCUCCUGCACCUGCCCAUCUGCAUGCUCUCCCUCCGGUAAGGGGUUUGAGAACACAGCUGCUGAACAGACAAGCCACACCCUUGUCACAUGUCCUGCAAAGGGAGUCAGGGAAUUCUCUCAUUUCAUGAAAACUGAAUCUUGAGAAUUACUACUGUUCUGUUAUAUGACAAGUACAUCACAGAGUAGAAAAGGUUAGGAAAUCAUGCUUCAGGAGUCAUCACUCAAUUUGAGAACAGUUACUACAGAGCUCUGGGAAGUGGAUUAAUUGCUUUGCUUAUUUCAAACAUUCCUUUUUUGUUCUUUAAGCUUGAGUUUCUUUACUUUAUAUCCACCUAAUUCUUUUUCCUACCUGACAAAGGUGCGGCUGUUGAGAUAAAGCCAUGCCAAUCAAAGGUUUUUAAAUGUUGAGGGUAUUGGGAUACUGGACAGGGCUAAGUUGCUAAACCAGGAAGUCCAGAGAUGGUGAGUGAAGUGGGUUAGACUAAGGAAGGGGAAGUUGCCUUCCUUAGUGACAGCUGACAACCACUCAGAAUGUUAAUGCAUACUUGACUUUGCUAAAAGGGAAGGCCCAGUUGGUGCUGCACUAUCCUCUGCAGGUAGUCACCUGCCCAGGCAGGACAGCUUUGGCAGUCAGUCAUUUCCUGGAUGCCUAAGCCGGCAGAGGACACAUCUCUGGGUCCCAGGAAUAGCAAAGCAUUUUACAUAAUGACUUACUUGGUCUCUGUUUCUCUGUCUCAAAAAAGUAAACUCAAUUUUUCCUUUCCAAGAAAGUUGGUAAAAGGAGAAAAGGAAAAGGAAAGUUAGUGCUUGUGAAAUAUUGGCAUUUGGUUCUAAUGCAGUUAUUUAUUUUAAUGGAAACAGCUACUGAGGGGAACUAACUCACCACACUGGAGGGGAGGUGGCAGAAGCGCUCCUCCAUCCUGCUUGCUCUGGAACCCUACUGCGUCCUAAACCUGGCCGUGUGCUGAGGUGAGGACAGUUUUGCAUUUGUGCUGCAGAGCUUAACAGCGUAUACAUCUUGAACUCCUGACCUCAGGUGAUCCACCCACCUCGGCCUCCCAAAGUGCUAGGAUUACAGGUGUAAGCCACUGCGCCUGGCCAGCUUAUACAUCUAUAAUGCCAAAGACUGAAUUUGCUAACCUCCAAGGUCUAUAAAAUCAAAUUAGAAGCUCGGUGAAAUGUUGUUUUGUAGGUAUUAAACAAAUAUUUGUUAAACUGAAUUAUCUUUCUUUAAAUUUUUAAAUUUUUAUUUUUAUAUAAAGAUGAGGUUUCACCAUGUUGGUCAGGCUGGUCUUGAACUCCCAAUCCCAGGUGAUCCGCCCGCCUUGGCCUCCAAAGUGCUUGGAUUACAGGUGUGAGCCACCACUCCUGGCCUAAACUGAAUUAUAUAACAAAUGAAAUUAUAUAUUAGAAUUAAAUGAGAGUCUGUAAGAAUGCUUUUGCCUUACC
Molecule: long non-coding RNA, 14621 nt
Organism: Callithrix jacchus (white-tufted-ear marmoset)
Lineage: Eukaryota; Metazoa; Chordata; Mammalia; Primates; Cebidae
Source: RefSeq, a predicted model, not a curated record